Molecule: ribosomal RNA, 442 nt
Filed under: uncultured bacterium
Lineage: Bacteria
Description: partial 16S ribosomal RNA
Rfam family: Bacterial small subunit ribosomal RNA
Source: RNAcentral
CUACGGGUCGCAGCAGUGGGGAAUAUUGGGCAAUGGGCGCAAGCCUGACCCAGCAACGCCGCGUGAGGGAAGAAGGUUUUCGGAUUGUAAACCUCUGUCCUUGGGGACGAAGAAGUGACGGUACCCAAGGAGGAAGCUCCGGCUAACUACGUGCCAGCAGCGCGCGGUAAUACGUAGGGAGCAAGCGUUGUCCGGAAUUACUGGGCGUAAAGGGUGCGUAGGCGGCAUAUUAAGUCAGGUGUGAAAUACUCGGGCUCAACCCGGGGGCUGCAUUUGAAACUGAUAUGCUUGAGUGUGAGAGAGGAAAGUGGAAUUCCUAGUGUAGCGGCGGAAUGCGUAGAUAUUAGGAGGAACACCAGUGGCGAAGGCGACUUUCUGGCUCAUAACUGACGCUGAGGCACGAAAGCGUGGGGAGCAAACAGGAUUAGAUACCCUGGUAGUC